RNAcentral lists this long non-coding RNA (4976 nucleotides) under Homo sapiens (human). RNAcentral describes it as "HSALNT0247125". The record is from RNAcentral. Lineage: Eukaryota; Metazoa; Chordata; Mammalia; Primates; Hominidae.
GUCCCCCUUAAGCUAUGUAUUUAUCUCUUGAAACUGUUUGCUGUUGUCACAAGUAGCUAUAAAUUACCCUAAUAAUGCCACCCUGGACACUAUAAGCCACACCCUAUAGUUUAGCAGUGUAUAGCCAGUCACUAAUCCCUGUUAUUUCUGUAAACCAAAGAGAAUUCCUUACAACAACUUUGUAUGAGCUCACUUCCCAUCCCUCUUUUUUGCCUUUAAAAACUUGCUUGUAACAAAGGCUGGGCGGAGCUCACAUUCAACGUUUCUUGGGUCUAAAUCUUCCGGGCAGCUGUCUACACUUUGGCUCAGGGUCUUGUUCUGUCACCCAGGCUGGAGUGCAGGGGCAUGAUCACUGCUCACCCCAACGUCAACCUCCUGGAUUCAACUGAUCCUCCCAAUUGAAUGAUUGUUCUGAAAUACCCUCUGCAGGACUCCUUUGUGAUAUUCAUCAAAUAUUUCUUGCUCUCCACCCUCCAGACACAUGUGAUUUUCAUGGUGUGAUAUAUAGUCAACCCCACAUCAGAUCACCUGGAAUCAUUGUCGAUAUUGGGUACAACUUGCCUCACCCCAGAAUUUCAAGGAGUGUGACCUGCGAGUCUGUAUUUUUACCAGGUACCAUCUGCUGACUUCCCACAUCAGAAGCAGAAUGAUCUUCAACCCAAGACACAGGCAAAGAGAGCAUCUAACUGCUUAAAAUGAGAGCAGGAAUGGCUGUUGGCUUAGAUAGAUGGCACCCCAGAGUCCUGAAAGAACUUGCAGAUGUGAUCACAGGACCAUCUGAACCGGAGAAACCGGGGGGAAUGGAGAGACAGCAAAAGACCGGAGAUGGGAAUCUACUUACCAAGAUGGCAGGAGCAAGUGGUUAUCAGAGCCUGCUCUCUAGAAAUACAAUUAAACAAGCAGCCCCUGUCUCUUUUUCUCCACUUUCAGUCUUGGGGAAGGGAUUGGAAUAUGUGAGCAGGAGAGAAGGGUCAUGUUGGAGCAGCCAGGACUCAGAGCCUUUCCGCAGACUGAGUCUGGAUCCUUUCCUUCAGCCUCCAGGAAUACUCCCGGCUCCACACCCAGAAUGGUAAUCCAGGCAAGGGCUCUGGUGUGUGGCCACACUGCCACCUAUUACCUGCGGGUCCAAAUGCAGUGACUCAACUUCUCUGUGCCUCUCUUUCCACAUGUAUAAAAUGAGGAUAAUGUUGCUAUUGUAAGAAUUGCAUCAAUUAAUAAACAGCACUCAGUGAAUCUGUUAGCCCAUCAGUGGAUCGCGCCUUGCAUGCUGGGCAUGUUCCCUCUUCUCUCUAGACCUCAGUGACCUCAACUGUGAAGUGGCUAUAGCUAAUCCACUUGGUCUAUAGGAUUUGUAAAGGAACAUGUUAAUAACCCUCAAGUGACUGCAGAGAAUGGGGGCAUUCUUUUUGGGAAAACUAUAGAUUGUUUAUCAUCAGGGAUGAAUACUUAAAAGAAAAUCUGGGAAUUUUUUUGUAAGUCACAAAGAAGGAUUUGGGAGGGGUUGCAUGCUUUUGAAUGGGAUUGCCUCUCUGGGAACUGUAGGGAAAUGGGUGACACAGAAGUACUAGGGGUUUUGGAGCUGUUCUGAGUGAACACACAGGUCCAGUGUGGCUACUUGGAGGCAGGGCCCCUGGAAUUUAUCCUGUUUUGCCUGCAAAGCUGAUUACCCAGCUGCCUCUUCUUUUCUCACCUCCAUGAUAUUAUCACCAAGCAACUAACAACAAUUAAAUCUGAGGACUCAACAAUCACGCACUAAGAUAAAAGACCACUGUGCUGUUGUGUUUCAAUAGGUAUAUAGAGAGAAGUGGGAAACUUCAGGAUUAAUGAAAUGUAGAUAAUGUCGAGAAAUGGCCAAAACACUGAAGCACUAAAUUAGGAAAAGAGCCUUAUGCAAAUAUUUGGUACUAAUGCCUGCUUUAUUUUUUUCCUUUUUUUAGUUUAAUUUUUGUUUUUUGAUACAGGCUAGAGUGCAGUGGCACAAUCACGGCUCACUGCAGCCUCUACCUCCCAGGCUCAAGCUACCCUCCUGCCUCAGCCUCUCAAGUAGCUAAUUUUUCUGUGUUUUGAAGAGGUGGGUUCUCACUAUGUUGCCCAGGCUGGGCUCAACUCCUGGACUCAAGUGAUCUUCCUGCCCUGGCCUCCCAAAGCACUGAGAUUACAGACAUGAACCACCGUGCCCGGCCAAUGCCUGUUUUAAACAGCAGGAAUAGUCACUUAUCAGACCUUUAGAAUGGCGUGGGCAUCCAACUGGAGUGAAGUCUGAGUAUGGAUGGUUUUGAAAAGCUCCAGGCGUUAAGAGUGACUAACUUAAUGUAUUCGAAGUCCCAUACUUUCAUUACGUUUUAGUGAAGACAAAUUGGAAGCUGGUCCAAGAAACUCACUCUAUAUUUUUUGCAGUGUGCCGCAUGUUUAUAUAAACUGUGUGGUCAGCUGUACAUCAUGCUCAUUCCGUGGUGUGCAUUCGUUCCUGAUUACCUCCUUUUGUUGUUUAUUGGUUCUGAUUUGAAUUACCCUCCAGAUACUGGAUCUAGAUAACUCUUGGGAUCAGAUGGCUUUCUCUAGCCAUGAGAGUCAAGAGGAUAGUUUCGAGAGUGGGAAGUGUACAUAGCCCCUCCUGCAUUGCACAAAGUUAGCCAAAUUUAUGUCUUUUCCAUGUGCACCAUAUGAGGUGUAAGUUGGAAGGAUGAGUAGGCUUGGAAAUAGAGCUGCAGCAUGUUGGAACCUGCUCAUAAGCAUGUUGGACAUCACAGAGGCUGGAGCCCUGCAGAAGAGAAUUGUUGUAUUCAAAUGUUAUUGUGAAACCACAGGAAGAGAGCUGACCUGCCAGCAAGAAGCCUAGUUCUUCUAUUACUGAGCAUGUGACCUUGUUGGAUUAUUUUAAAUCUUCAGAAUCACAGUUAUAACACCACCCAUCCUAACUUCCUAAAGAACAAGUGAGCCUGCACACAUGUGGAGACCAUAAAACCCUAUCCAAACGCAAUGCAUGAUUAAAUAAGCACAUGCUUAUGUGAGCAUAUUGUUUAGGUUUAGUUUGCCCUGGAGGUUGUAUUUAUUAUAUAGUCUCCAAGGGCAAGAAAGCAUGUUCCACUAUAUGAUAUUCAUGUGUGCUAACUAUUAAUUCUCUGAAAAUGAUUCUGUUGUUAUUACCAAAGGACAAGGGCUAUAAGAGAGUUUUAUUAAACAAACUUGAAGUCUGUCAUCUCUAUAAAACAUCCUUAUUUGGGUAAGCAGAGAGGCUUCCACAGGUUUACAAAUGAUUUCACAAUCAAGUCUAAAAUUAGUGACAGCAUCCAAAAAGAUCUCUGGUGUCUUUCCAAACUGCUCCAAGCAUUAGACUCUCCGAAAGGGAGUGUUUCAUUAAAUCAUCACAGAGCUGGCCUAUUCUCUGUCCAGUCUGGGGUCCGUUCUUUGUAGAAUUAUGACCUUGUCAGGGCAUCCAGAGGUGAAUAGUUUCUCAGAUUCUGACUCACAUUAAUCAAAUUCACAAGAGAGUGGUAUAUAAAAUAGAAUAUCAAUUGAUUGAUUAAUUGCUAUAUACUAUCAAUUAAUUGAUAGAAGUAUUAACAAGGCAGAUACUCAUGUUUGCUGAUGAGCACAUUCAUUCCCUGAAGGCAAAUCCAUGAGGAAAUCCUGUUAAAAUACGAAGCCUUCCUGCAGAGCGUGAAAUCAGAACGAAUUUCCGAUUCAGCUGGAACCUCCAUUUCCAGCUCAGGUGAUCCCAUCACACCGACCAGUGGGGCCUCCCUCCUGCCUUGUGAGGUUGCUAAAUGAGUUGAGUAGGUCAGGGUCAGAAUUUUUAAAAUAAAUAAAUAGAAGAUUAAAAUAACAGAAAGCAUCAUACCUAGCAAGAGUAGGAUUUGUUUCAUGAAACCCGUUUUAAUUUAGAUAGAUAGAUAGAGAGAUAGAUAGAGAGACUGAUAGAAGUAUUGGGUCCUAUGUGAAAAAAAAAUGUGUUUCUUACAGUGACUGCUUUCCAAAACAAUGUGUGAACAUCACUGCUAUAGAGAUGCUAACAUCUUUUAUUUUUAAAUGAAUAUUUAUUAGGUGCCUAUUCUGUAAUCUUGUGGAGAUUAUACUGUAGGAGAGAGAUUAUGAGAGAGAUGAAAGACAGGCAAUAAACAAAUACCAAUACCCUUUAGGUCCCCUACCUCUUUCUCUAGUCUGAUGCCUCCAGUGGUACAUUUGCUCUUCCUACAGAUACAGCUUAGGAUGGACUCAUCAGUCCUCCUGUCCUAGGAUCAUGCUUGGCCUUUGAACUGGCCUGUGCCCUGGCAGGUGGUCUCUUAGGCUGGAUCUGUGCACAGAAGGGGCUGCUUUCAGCCACCACCUGCCUAGUUUUCCUUUUCCUCUUUUUCUUUUCUUUUCUUUUUUUUUUUUUGAUGGAGUCUCUCUCUUUAGCCCAGGCUAGAGUGCAGCAGUGUGAUCUCGGCUCACUGCAACCUCCACCUUCCGGGUUCAAGCGAUUCUCCUGCCUCAGCCUCCCGAGUAGCUGGGAUUACAGGCACCAGCCACCAGGCCUGGCUAAUUUUUGUAUUAUUAGCACAGACAGGGUUUCACCAUGUUGGUCAGGCUGGUCUCAAACUCCUGACCUCAUGUAAUCCACCUGCCUCGGCCUCCCAAAGGGCUGGAAUUACAGGUGUGAGCCACCGCACCCAGCCUCCUUUCCCUCUUUUAACUCUUCAUUGUUUAUAUCACCCACCCACCUUCUUGAAAUAGCUGUUGUUUUUUUUUUUUUACUCUGUCUAAAGAUAAUCAGGCAAAAUAGCACAUAAAUGUACAGUUCAAGGGCCUGAAUGAAGAAAACUACAGUAUGCAAGAAGCUGGAAGAAAUCCUGGAAAUUCUCCUUUCAACUUUCUUAUUUUUAGAUGAAGAAACAGAUUCAAGAAGGCUGUGACUUGCUCAAGGUCAAAGUCAUCCAAUAACAGAUCUGACACUAAACCCUGGAUCUGUAGACCCCAUGUCCAGUGCUCCGUCA